Molecule: transfer RNA, 72 nt
Filed under: Amycolatopsis sp.
Lineage: Bacteria; Bacillati; Actinomycetota; Actinomycetes; Pseudonocardiales; Pseudonocardiaceae
Also listed under: 8 other names
Description: tRNA-Cys
Rfam family: tRNA
About the family: Transfer RNA (tRNA) molecules are approximately 80 nucleotides in length. Their secondary structure includes four short double-helical elements and three loops (D, anti-codon, and T loops).
Source: RNAcentral
GGCGGAGUGGCCGAGUGGUUCAGGCAAGGGCCUGCAAAGCCCUGUACGCGGGUUCGAUUCCCGCCUCCGCCU